Molecule: ribosomal RNA, 253 nt
Filed under: uncultured bacterium
Lineage: Bacteria
Description: partial 16S ribosomal RNA
Rfam family: Bacterial small subunit ribosomal RNA
Source: RNAcentral
UACGUAGGGUGCAAGCGUUAAUCGGAAUUACUGGGCGUAAAGCGUGCGCAGGCGGUUCGCUAAGACAGAUGUGAAAUCCCCGGGCUCAACCUGGGAACUGCGUUUGUGACUGGCGGGCUGGAGUGCGGGAGAGGGAGGUGGAAUUCCAAGUGUAGCAGUGAAAUGUGUAGAGAUGUGGAGGAACACCGAUGGCGAAGGCAGCCUCCUGGUCUAGCACUGACGCUCAUGCACGAAAGCGUGGGGAGCAAACGGG